AUGCUUGCUUCAACAGCAUAUAUACUAAAAUUGGAAUCACACAGAGAUGAUUAGCAUGGUCCCUUGGUGGGGAUUACGUGCCCAUCAUUCGUGAAGCAUUCCAUAUUAAA
Nomascus leucogenys (northern white-cheeked gibbon) is the source of this 110-nucleotide small nuclear RNA. Lineage: Eukaryota; Metazoa; Chordata; Mammalia; Primates; Hylobatidae. The record is from Ensembl.